This 88-nucleotide transfer RNA is filed under the name Fibrobacterales bacterium. RNAcentral describes it as "tRNA-Ser". It matches the Rfam family "tRNA". From Rfam's summary of the family: Transfer RNA (tRNA) molecules are approximately 80 nucleotides in length. The record is from RNAcentral. Lineage: Bacteria; Pseudomonadati; Fibrobacterota; Fibrobacteria; Fibrobacterales.
GGAAGCGUGGCCGAGUGGUUGAAGGCGGCGGUCUCGAAAGCCGUUGGAGGGUUCUGCCCUCCCGGGAGUUCGAAUCUCUCCGCUUCCG